GGGCCCGGUCCCCGGUUCGCGCGGGGAGGGGAGGUGACGCUCCGCUCCGCUCCGCGCUCUGCUGAGGCUGGGCAGCCUCCUCGGGCCGGCGCGGCCACAGUUGGUUCCUCAGCCCCCGGCCCUUUGAGAGCUAAUCUUCACACGGGGGAAGGAUGUUCGCAGGGAACGAGACGCGCUAAAGACUUCGGAGUUCACCAGAAAUUUGUAUUUGCUAAAAACAGUGUAAAAUAAUCUGUAUUAGGGGCAUGACCCUGAAUAAAGAGCCGAGGUUAGGCUAGGAUUAUGGGGCAAAACCCACUUUGGGUCACCACGAGCCAUCUGUCUCCUGAAGAAGCCUGGCAGGACGCUGCCCGGCCCAAAGCUCGGUGUUUCUGUGCCAGCCCGCCACCCACAGUACGUGGCCCUGAGCAAGGAGCUGCGUUUGGGAUGGUGUUGUCUCCAAAGGACAGUAACUGCACACAGUCUAUCUUUGAUGUGUACCUGCAGAGAAAAGAACAAGGCAGGAAUCAGGGACAAGCAGAGCACAUUAAUAACUGAGGCUGCUGGCAACACAUUUUGCUUCAUAGAAGACAUGCAAAUUUAUGGGACACAACUUGACAGGAUGAAGGCACU
Molecule: long non-coding RNA, 612 nt
Organism: Alligator sinensis (Chinese alligator)
Lineage: Eukaryota; Metazoa; Chordata; Crocodylia; Alligatoridae
Exons: 3
Source: RefSeq, a predicted model, not a curated record